CGGUGUUGUCGUGCCCGUGCCGGCCCGGCCCGAGGCACCAGGCCGUGCCUGGGCCGUCACCCCAGCCCGUGGCACGGCCCGGGCACGGCACGGCAAACAGGCCGGCCCGGUGCGCGGCCCGGUCCCCUCCCCUCCGCUCCUAAGGCCAGGCAGGCCGCGACCGCGAGGGGGCAACGGCCCACGCCCCACCCCCACGCCCCAGCGCCCCACGCCAUAUAUAAGCGCCCCCCGCGCCGCGCGGACGCCCCCGAAACCCUAACCCUCCUCAUUCCAUUCCGCCUCCGCCGGGCCGCAGCUCUCGUCCUCCUCUCGCUCGCGACUGCCGACUGGGCGACUGAAGCUCUCUCAGUCUCUCUCUCCGCUCUCCGAUCUAGAUCUGCCUGGACCGCCACCGUCUGCCACUCCACCUCGACGUCGAGUCGCCGUCGGCCGUCGCCGACGCCUGAGUUCGCUAAUCCCCUAUCCCUUUCCUUCCUCCUUUUCCCUCCUCCCCUCUCCUUCUCUAGUGAACCAUGUGAGUCCGUCCGUGUUCAUGUAACUCGCUCCACCGUCGCUCGCCGUCCUUUCUAAUUACUUCUCUGUUUUUCUCACCUCUUCUUCUCCGGCACCGGGCUCCGGAGCAGGUAUGUACUCCGUAACCCUAACCCUAGAUUCACAUAUUUCUUCACCGGCGUUUUUCUCACCUCUUCUUCUUUCUUGCCUUUGUAGGUUGGUGCCUGACGCUGCGUCUUCCUCCUCUGGGGUAGACAUGGCCAGGCCGCCCGCCAAGCAUCCGUUGAGGGGCGGUGCCGGGGCUGGUGCUCGUGGCCGGGGCCGUGGUGGCCUGGCUAGUCCGGCCGCAUCAGCACCAUCCAGUGCUGGUGCUGGGCUCGCAACGCGGGUGGCGCAACCCCCCAGCGAUGGCGAGGACCUAG
RNAcentral lists this long non-coding RNA (914 nucleotides) under Sorghum bicolor (sorghum). RNAcentral describes it as "long non-coding RNA (SBIC_LNC005293)". Lineage: Eukaryota; Viridiplantae; Streptophyta; Magnoliopsida; Poales; Poaceae. The record is from RNAcentral.